Molecule: ribosomal RNA, 253 nt
Filed under: uncultured bacterium
Lineage: Bacteria
Description: partial 16S ribosomal RNA
Rfam family: Bacterial small subunit ribosomal RNA
Source: RNAcentral
CACGUAGGGGCCGAGCGUUGUCCGGAUUCAUUGGGCGUAAAGAGCUCGUAGGCGGUUUCGUAAGUCGGGUGUGAAAUCUCCAGGCUCAACUUGGAGUGGCCACCCGAUACUGCGCGACUCGAGUCCGGUAGGGGAGUGGGGAAUUCCUGGUGUAGCGGUGAAAUGCGCAGAUAUCAGGAGGAACACCGGUGGCGAAGGCGCCACUCUGGGCCGGUACUGACGCUGAGGAGCGAAAGCGUGGGGAGCAAACAGG